This 1437-nucleotide long non-coding RNA is filed under the name Pan paniscus (pygmy chimpanzee). RNAcentral's name for it is "lncRNA (ENSPPAG00000044978.1)". The record is from RNAcentral. Lineage: Eukaryota; Metazoa; Chordata; Mammalia; Primates; Hominidae.
CAAACAGUCAGACAACUGGAGCCUCAGAUGAUGGCUCUCUUUUGCCAGGGACCCUUAGGUAGACCUCUGGAAGAAAUCUGAAUGUCAUUCUCUCCAAAACAAUGCCCCCUGUCAGCAGAAAGUAGCUAAGAUCAGUCAUUAUCCAUAUUCUAAUGGCAGUUAGAUGCGCCUCUUCAGAGUGGGGAAAUGAUAGGGACAGAGGGCAGAGAAAUUUUAGGCAGAAAAGGGUGAGUCCCUGACACAACCCCACUGUCAAGCAGAAAGGCCCGGAAGCGUGGCCCAAAGUGAGAAAUUCUAUCCCUGUUUUCCAGCUAGAAUGUUGCCUUUUUCUAAACUACUCAUGGCCCAUCCCACCCCCAUUCUGUGCCUAUAAAGACCCAGAGUCAGCUGACAGAGAGCAGACAAGCAGCUGGAUGUGAGACUACGGCUGGGUGUCACAGAGAAGCAGCUUGACUUCAGAGGAGCAGCUUGACUUCAGAGGAACAGCUUGAUGGCGUAACUUCAGAGACGAAUCUUGGCCUGAGAUGACCAGACUCCAGGUUUGAAAAGAAAAAAAACCUAUAAACAUAUCACUCUAAGAGAACAUUGUCUGUUUCAUCCACAAAAGAAAACAACCAGAAGUGAGGCAGCUAAUGAAUAAAACAGUCAUAAAAAAUUGCUUUUUACAUAGGUAACAGGUCUUUCAAAUCUUCCAACUUGUUUGCAAAUCACUAAAGGAACAGAGGAAAUAAACCCUCCCAAUAGAAUUCUUGGAUUAGGCUGUUCACCUAUUAAAGGAGCUCAGAGAUAACCAUCAAGCUGGGGGGAAACGGAACACAAGAUAUCCAUGAUGGAAUCUCUCUCUGUCACCGUGGCUGGAGGGCAGUGGCGCAAGCUCGGCUCAUUGCAAGCUCUGCCUCCUGGGUUCACACCAUUCUCCUGCCUCAGCCUCCCGAGUAGAUGAGACUACAGGCGCCCGCCACCACACCCGGCUAUUUUUGUAUUUUUAGUAGAGACGGGGUUUCACCGUGUUAGCCAGGAUGGUCUGGAUCUCCUGACCUCAUGAUCCACCUGCCUGGGCCUCCCAAAGUGCUGGGAUUACAGGCGUGAGCCACCAUGCCCGGCUAUACUGUUAAUUUUUCUGUUUAUGAUCUGGUGUGUGAUUUCUUUUUUCUAUAAUUUUGUUAAAUUGAUUUGAUUGAGCAAACACAUAAAGGGUGGGGAAUGUGACUUAAGAAAAAAUAAACAGUAGAUUCAGCUUGAUUGAAUGGUAAUGCUCUUUUUUCCAGUAGUUUUUAAGGGUGAAGAGACUGGCUGAUUAUGAAAACUGACUACCUUAUAAAAUGGAAAAACGUUUGGAUUAUCUGGUGUUUAGCUUAAAAAUAUUUUUUUCAAUUAUUUCUUAAAACUGCAUGUGAAUCCACAACUGUCUCAAAAUAAAAUAUUCUAAGGAUUAAU